Equus caballus (horse) is the source of this 11402-nucleotide non-coding RNA. Lineage: Eukaryota; Metazoa; Chordata; Mammalia; Perissodactyla; Equidae. The record is from RefSeq and is a predicted model, not a curated record.
GGGAGGAUUGAGAGAGGCGGGGCGAGGCCGGAGGCGGGACUGCGGAGAGCGCCUGCAUGGUCUGCGCGGGACCUGGCUCCCAGAGGCUGGCACGUGUAUUGGCUGGAGCCCAUGGAUGAGUUUAUCAUCAAGGAGAGUGAAACUUUGCUCUCGGUAGAUGGCCAUCACCAGACCCUGAAGAUGAACAGGAAGAAAAACAUAACUGCUUAAGAAACAUGUGAGAUGAGGCAGACAUGGAAGAGGCUGAAGUCCGUGUAAAGGCUCCGUCGUCAUUUAAGUUGCUCGUCACUUAUACAGCAGCUCGAUGGGCUGGGUUACCUGUGUCUGUGUCCUAAAUCAGGCUAAAAACUCGAGAAUCAGAAAGUUCUGAGGUUUCUUUGAACUCUAAAAAUUUCUUCUUAAGUAGCCGCAGGAAAGUCACCUCAGCGUGUCCGGCAUUUCACUUCCCAGGCCACAAAGGGUUUGAGGAAGUUAGGAAGGAAAAGACACUUUAUUCAAGCCCCCUGGGGUAGACAGUUGAUGUAUUUUUGGCUGCCCGACUCCCUAGAACACUCUUCCUAUUUUGGGAAAUUCUCCAUCUUUUGAGUCCUGUCCUUCCUACCACAGAAGCCAGAAACUCUUUCCUGCCUCCCGUCAGCCAGGCCCCCGCGUGGGAUAGAGGACCCCCGUCAGACACUUGUGUGACACCUCCGUUCAGAGGCUGGUGCCACACAGGUUCACUCUGGGACAGCGACUGCACAGAUUCCGGAGGCAGUGGGCCGAGGGUCAGCUGUAGGCUGCAGCUGGCUUUCUGGGGCGGCUGUGGCUGUGGCAUUGCCUCCAUCUGGUGACUCCACAGGAUCAUCCUGUGGCAGGGUUUGCAGUUGCUCAGGCUGUGUAUCUGGUCCUGGAGAGUCCGUGUGCUACCAAAACCAUUCGCCACAUUUCCUUAAUGCUUAAACCAGCCAGUUUGCAACUGACAACUAACUGACACCGUCUUUACAUGCAAAGCCACGAAGGAGGGAAUUUAAAAAUGAAUGGGAUCUCGUCCUCAAGGAGUCUAUGUAACACCGUGGAGAGAAGGAAAGUAAAUGACCACAAUAGCCAGCGGCCUCCGAGGGGCAGAAGAGUGCUGUAGGAAGAGCAGACCCUCCGAGCCGUCCUGCCGGGGCUUCCAAUCCUGGCCCCACUGCUGUUAACUUCGUUUCCUUGGACUAGUUGCUUAACCUCUCUGUGCCUCAGUUUUUAAUCUGUAAAAUGGGGAUAAUAAUAUGAUUACCUUAUAGGGUUUUAUGGUGGAGAGUCCUCAUUGCCUCCCCACCUGCGUUCUCUCCUUUCUGGGCACACGGCUGAGCAGUUCGAAAUUGUAUUUCACCCUCCGUUAGAAGGAACUCUGUGCAACCAUGUGACUAAGGUUAACAGCAGAGUGAGAGCACAAGCCAUGUGUACAGCCCUGGCUCUACUUGGUUAGGAGGAACUUCCUUAUCCUGGAUGAACUCUUUCUUCCCUUUCCUCCCGGCUGUUUGGAGGUGGUGUUCACAGGUGGUGAACCAUGAUGGGGAAGCUCAGCAUUGGGGAUGGCAGAGCAUCCUGCUCGCCUGGGGCAUGUUGACUGUAGAAUGGAGUCCCGUCUACCGUCGCGGCCUUGUCAUGAAAGAAACCACUGUCUGUGUUCCCCGUGGCCCAGAUUAAGCAGUUGACCCAUGGCUACACUCCAAGUGCCAGAAGUGGGAUGUAAACCCAGGUCUGUCGGCCAGAGAACACUAGGUUGAGUUUCAAAAUACAAAUGUCCUUGUUAUUUAAACAAUCUCACAUUCGUAUGAAAAUAACGAGGCCCUAAUCAGUAUUAUCACCCUGAGAAUUUACAUCUGUUAGGUUCCCUUGAAGGUCAGGAGGGUCCUUCCACCCCGGGCUGCCGCAUCCCUCACCAACACUGAAAGGGGCCGUCAGGGAACAGAAGGUGUGUGGCUCAGACUCUAGGGUGGUGACCAUGGAGAAGGAGUCCGUGUCUCACUGACAAGACUGUCCAGGGGUUCCCACCGGGAAGGGAGAAAGUGACAGCAAGAGGACUGAGGGGCCUGGCUGUCUGUCCCUCCAGGGAGAUAAGGAACAAAUGACGCACAGGGAAGACCAGCGGCGACAGAGGAUGAGAAGCAGCAGUCACAGCAGGGAACUGCAGACCCAGAACAAAGACCCUCCACCUUUGCCUCGAUGGUAGGUGACACUUAGGACGUAUUUAUUGUAUGAACGGAUAACAAGACCAGUUCUUCAAAUUACAAGCUCCAAUAUCCCAGGAAAAUUUGCCUCGGCACUGGAUUUGGUGAGUGUUACUCUGUCACAACUUCGGAAGACUCCCAGUUCUAAGGAGACGUGAGAGGGGCGUCAGGGUACCAUCUUUGCAUCUCCAUCCCCUCGCUGCCUGCCCCAGCAGCUGCUCAGCUCAUGUCAGCCUCCCCUUAUCUGACUCUAUAGAUAUUUGGGGAACUUGUGUAGUCUUUUCUGGCAGAAGUGGUUGAGGCUGAGGAGAUGACAUCAUAAUAGGGGCUGCACAAGGAGGAAGUCCAGUCAAGUGCCCCUGAGGGAGGGCGUGAUCAAGACUAGAGUGGGUGACAAGAAGGCUAGGGUGCUCCUUCAGGCAGCUCAACAACAGAACAAGCCCAGAGAAUCUCAAAGACUGGAGGCUUCCUCACUACUUGGCCCUUGGGUACCCCAGAGGAUGAGUGUCUCCUUUACCCUUCACUGGAAUUGUGGCGUCUUCUUGGCGUUUCUCCCACUGGAUCUGGGUUAAGUAGCGUCUAUAGUCCCUCUCUGAUGGCACGUAUUUCUUCAGCACAUUCAGAAUCCACUUAUGUUUCUACUGCUAUCGGGUGCUCCACACCCCGAGUUAGCAGAUGCGACUGCUGCUCUGAUGGUCGUUGUCUAAGAUCUCACCUCCAAGCUUUCUGGACAAUUAUUCUACGUCUUUCUCUCCUUUUCUCAUGGAGAAAGAAGAGGCAGGACAUGGGAAAGGCUUAAGAUUUCUGCUUGGAAAGCCCCAGGUUGAAUGACUGUAAUUUACACAGAGUUCCAUGUCUGGCGGUGGACGACGUGAAGUGGAGUGUCGGCUGAGGUGACACGAGCCCCCGCAGACGACACGUUGAAUACUGUUCUGAAGACUACACCAUGGGCUAUGGCACUAGCCAGACUUCCCCCUAGCGUGCAUCGGGACCACCUGCACGGCUUGUUGGAACACAGAUCGCCCCACUCCCAAAGUUUCAGAGAGUCCUUCCUGACUUCCUGGUGAGCCCACAGCGUGGGAAGAACCCCACAUCCACAUGGCACAUUGGAAGCACGUGGCCCAGCAGUCAGAAGAUUCACUGCUCCGCCAACUCGCUGGGUGUCCUCCGCAGGUCUCUGCCUCAGAGUCCACACGUGUAAAAUCCCAGAGUGGAAUCAGGUAAUCCCUAUCACUCCAUCCAUGUUCAAUACUCCUUAAACAUUCACUUAAUGGGCCUAUCUCCUGCCCAGGGCCAUAACUUUUGUUGUACACUUCAGUGCUGUAUAGACACAAAGGAAUACCACUAGUAACGGUCUAGGAUGUUGCUGCCUUUAUACCAUAGAGAACACUCAAUAUUAUAUAGGAACGUGGUUGGUUCUGUGACUCUCCACUCUCCAGUCAGAUACUUACUGCUGUCUGUGUGUUUGUCAAUUAGUUUGACUUCUGAGUAUUAAGAAGUAUCUUAUAGCCGUGUGAACCUGCUCAGGGAGCUUCUAAUGUGAACCCAAGGUGAAGUGCCAUUCACUUGUUGGGUGUUAAGGUCUCACAUUUAAAUUUUCCUUCUGUGUUCGCUGCGUUUCCAUCUGGCUCAAUCUUCAUUAAACAGGCUGUAUUAAGUGUUUCUCUGCACCUGGCCCUGUGCUAGGAGCUGAAUUACAAAGACGUGGUUUUUGAUGUCGAGGAAUGUCUGACGGAAGCAUCACAGUGCCGAGGACAAAGGAGUGGUGCACAGCCAUCUGAAUCUCGGUGCUGCCUGGCUGAGGCCUCUCAGGAGGUCCGGAAAGGAGGACCCUGAGGGAUUCUGAGUCUGGGGGGCUGGGGCCCUGCAGUACUGUGCUCCUCAGAGAGAAGAUGUGUGGAGGAAAUGGGAUCCCAGGAGCUUUUCAAAUGAAGUGGCAAACCUUGGGGUUCUCCAGAGGGAGAACGUUUCAAGAUCUGGGAUCCAAAUCAGUAAAGAUUUUUUUUCCUGACAAAGGUGGAAACAGAGCCAGAUUGAACAUAAGUCAACUACGGAAUAAACAGGGAUGAUAAGAACGUAGGGAAGGCAGGUCUCAGCGGAUGGCGUGCAGACAGGUAAGGGAGUCAGCGCGGUGGACUGGGGCUAAGUACACUGAUGCACUGAAAUACUUCCGUGAGAAAAGGAAUUACUUCCAGCUGCCCUGGACCUCACUGGGGCCGCUUCUCUUGACAACUUCUCUUUAUGAAAUACGGAGGUCUGGCUCUUUGUUCACACGUGUUGUGGGCUUUACCUGGCUUUGCCAUCAAGGACUCCCCUGAGGGGUUUGGGGAAACACUUUGUAGGAAAGAUACUGCCAGGGCCGGCCCAGUGGCAUGGUGGUUAAGUUCAUGCUCUCUGCUUCAGAGGCCCGGGGAUCGUGGGAUCGGGUCCCAGGCGUGGACAUAUACAACACUCAUCAAGCCAUUCUGAGGAAGAUUGGCUACAGAUGUUAGCUCAGGGCCAGUCUUCCUCACACACACAAAAAAAGAGAGAUACUGCCUCUCCCCACAUGCGUGUGGGGUAGAGAGAGUGACAGUUACAGUUUUGAGAAUGCUAAUAUCACCAAGAAUCAGUGCUCAGCUAGCUUGUGUUUUCAGAACGAGGAUAUUUGAUAGGCUAACUGAUGCCCAGCGCCCCAUGCUAUGCAGAUGCGUAUUCAGGAACUUGAAGCUCUGACGCAAAGCGUGAGAUGAAGACUCGGGUGUGCUGGUUGAAUCGCAGGGGUCCCAGGGAGCAGGAGUGAGGCGUCCGAGGGAGGGAGACAGAACAGGAGAAAGAAAGGCGAUUUUGGCUUUCUGAGCACCCUGCACCUGUGGCUAAUAUGAGGGUGACAUUGUACUGCUGUGGACAUCAGGGACUCGUGCCAGCACAGACCCUCAGAGGAGCAGUGGAGAGUGUGGCUCACGAUGGUCUCACUGAUGGACGGGGAGGCUGGGGUUCGUUCGCCACCUUCCAUUCCUCAUUCACUGAAGCUCGUCCCCUAAGGCAUCAACCUCCCUCACUUUCAGAUCACAUCCAUGCGGGUGGAGCAGACUUUGGAAAAAGUCCUGAGGCAAAAAGUAGAGAGAUGUCCUGGCACAUGCUGGAGGUGAGACAUUGGCCAUUUCCAGGGACCGCCUGCUGAACAGCCCCAGGGUCCCCUCCCCAUGGCUGGGGGGCUGAGGGCUGUGGUCCUAGGCCCAUGGAGGACACCACCACUGACUUCUCAGUGCUGCCCGUGCCCUCACUAGUGUGUGCCUUCUUGUCUCAGUGAAGGAACUGUCUCUGGCCCUUCCUGGGGACCACCGUCUUGGUUAGGCUCUCUGGUGUCUCAUAACAAGCCAGUUCUCGUACAUCCUCUGGGAGCCUUGCCCAGGGAUCGAACAGGAGACUGAUCCAGUCCUGGAUCCAGCGGCCAGUUUGCAGGAAACACAGGGGACAGAGGAACAUGCUGGAUUACAUACGCCGCGAGUGUGCAGUCAGCAAAAUCCGGACGGUGGGAGACUGCCAGUCAGAGGACCCAGAUGAAAGAAAGGAGAAAGGGAUAAUUAGGUUAGCACUUAACAACAUCUGUUUUUCUUUUUUUUAAAUGGUCAAGACUAAAUUAUAAUGUCCAGGGACAUUUUAUCACAAUUGGGUGAUGAAACUAUUUGCAAAGCAGCAAGUACUGUAAAAACAACGGGGACGAGCCCCAUGGAACAGGCUUCUGAAGUGGAGGCAGCGUUUCAGUUUUUGGCCUGUGUUGUGAUUACAAAGGUGUUCGCUUUUAUAAAAAUUCAUCGUCAUACAUUUGUUUUGUGUCGUUUUCUAUAUCUUUAUUUUAAUUCCAAUAAAAAAUGUUUUAAAAGAGAGAAAGAUACUUUGGAGACACAACAACCAGAUAUAAUAUGUAGACCUUGUUUGGAUCCUGACUUGAACAAACCAAGUAUGAGAUAUUUAUGAGAUAAUCAGGAAAAUUAGAACAUUGACAAGAUCUUUGAUGAUAUUUAGGAAUUAUUGUUUAAUUUUAGAUGGGAUCAUGUUACUGUGUGUUUUAGAAAGACACACAGGGGUAUAAAUGAAACAAAUUGGCCAAUGUUGAUAAUUGGUGAGCCUGGUUGCAGGGUACAUGGGGGUUCGUUAUAUUAUUCCCUCUACUUUUGUGCAUAUUUGAAAAUUUCCAUAAUAAAAAAUUUCUUUUAUUGACCUUGUUUGGAUGAGUAGGUCAUAAGCAAAAGAAAGACGGCCCCGUAAAUUCUGUGUAUAGUUUGCACAAGCAGCUUCCUCCCUGUUCAGUUAACUGCUCUGAAAAUUCUCCCUCAAUGGGACAAGUGUUUGAGCAAAUAAAAACUUUAGGGCCAGGUGUCAUUUGUCAGAUAAAAUGUCCCUGAACACCCACUAUCCCAAUGCUUUUUUCAGGUCAGACAGGGAAAAUAAAACACGUUUGACCUCCUUGCUGAAGGGCUGGAGACCGUGGAGCACAGGCUAAAUUGCAGUGAGUGUCCAGUCCAGGGGGCGACGCCCAGAUCGGUGCACCCUAUAGGACAGAGCCUUCCAUUCCACACUCUGCAGAGCUUCAGGUCCAGACCCAGAAUCUGUCUCCGAAAUGCCUCCCACACUUGCAGAGCAGCUGCUCGAGCUCCAGCCAGCACCCAAAGGAGAACAGAAUCACACGGUGGUUUUCUAAGGCUUCGCUGCCUCUGUUUGUCAUGCUGGCAUCGGCACCACAUGCCAACGGGUGCAGCGAAAUGAGAAGAAAAUGUUUCUAUGACUUUGCUGCUGAUUUUAAAAAUAACGUAUCUAAUCAGCCAGCUGUGAUUACAUAAAAAAAUUCAAAUAAUCAUUUCCGCAGUUUAUUUCAUCCUAAACAGUUCUCAAAUAUGACUUUUCCCAAAACCGUAAUACAGUAUCAGACAGAUGGCCCGUUUGAUGGGUUCUAUUUUAAACAAGCCCCCUGGGAGAUUAUUGUUUUUAUGAAAACGUAGGAAAAAUAAUUUAUCCCAGGUCAAGUGGACAGAACUAAAAAUAAAUUAUGAUUUUGACAAUAGGAGGUACGUUUUAUAAGAAAGUGUUGUCAGUUCAUGGAGAUACAGUGAUUUGUCCCCCCUGGAACUUGAAAAUAAGGGAAAUAAAGAUUGACUUGAGUGUUAAACCAUGCAAUCAGUAUAUGGUGAUCAGAGCUGGCAACGCACAUCUGCUUAGAGAGCGAGAAGCUGUCAGGGCAGCAGACGGGGGUCUGGAAGAAGGAAUCUACGACUGCGCCUGAAGAACGCGUUCAUCCAAAGUCGGUCACAGAAGUACGGGAAAACAGGUGUCACUAGGAUAGGUGUUGGCUGUGCAUGCCUAACACGGCUCAGGGGACAGGGAGCCUUACCCAAUGCUCUGAGUUACCUGAGUCUCAUAGCAAGACCGCCCGUCCUCAGCCAGAUGGAAACUCAAGGCAGAGGUCGCAAACUGGAGUGCUGCACACCUGACCUAGCUCACAGAUGGAUCUGUCUGCCUCCUGUAGGCUUUCUUUUUAAUAUUCAAGCUAAAUGGAAAAGUUUUUUUAAAUGAAAAUAUUUUGCAUAAGAUUCUCCAUUUAUACUUUUCUUGAAAAAGCUCACAUUCCCACGUGACAACAAUCAGCUGGUACUAAGAGCUGUCCACAGCCCCCAGCAGGCACCGUCACUCAGCUCUCUCACCUGUCUGGCCCCUGAGUCGUCUCCGCUGGCCACCCCCAGGGAGUACCAUCCACUAACCGGCCAGUCUCACUACCUGUGUUCUGGGUCCGUGCUCCUGACAGAUCUUCUGGUUCCAGCCUGACUUUCCUUGUAGGUUCUACAGGGAGGAACUGGGCUGGGCAUGUGAUGUGAGGACUCCUGCCUAUGUGACAGUUUUGUUUCAUGGUACAGGAAGUAUGGCAUUUUGAUUCUGCUUAUCAGGCUCCGGUAAACCAGCCGUGAAGAGGUGUAUCCACAUCUCUCUGGUGUCCCAACAAAACCAAGUGUCAGUCUUCAAGCCUGAAAAUCAAGACCUGCUUUCUGCUGAACUCACAGUGGCGAGCUCCCUGGUAUGUGACUUGGGACUGAGCUCCCCAAUGUCACCAUAUGGAAUCUCCACAAAGAGGACAUUUUCCCUUUUUCAUUUUAUAUUUAUAAGGUACUCUGUGCUCUAAUUUUGUUUUAUGAAUCACAUUUUCUUACGUUAUACUUUUGCUUGUGGUCAUGUGUGUGUGAAAUAAAAUCCGAAAAUGGGAGAUAAGGUGAGUAGAAGAGCAUACGAAAUGAAAGUUUUGGUUCGGAAAUAAAAUGAGCUUUGCCUUUCUGGCACUUCUUUGCAGAGGGCUGGGUGUAUGUUUUUGGUUGCUUUAUCCUUUGUUAGUAUCAUAGUUCACGGCUCUUUCCUAAUCGCGGAAGAAUUAUUGUCUUGUCGAACUCUCAGAUCUCAUCUUGUCCACUUUGUUUGUGUCUUGGCCUCCGCGGUCAUCCGCAAGCUCCCUUUAUCUUCUAAUUUAGAAAAUGCCCAUCUACGCAUUAGACCUCAGUUGUGUCAUCUUCCAAAAAGCAAGAUGACUGGGAAAGAAAAUCCUGCAAGCUCUUCUUGCACGCUCACACAUCGCAGAGGCUUGCAUCCUAGGCGUUUGGAAACCACAGGGAGAACUUUAGAAUGACUCACACAGGACACACCUUGAGGGAACAUAAGCUCUGAGAAAUUCUUUCUAGCACGAGUGUUCAAUCAGCAUUCGUGGGACAACUCUCCACAUUUCAGCCAUGAACACAGACACCUCAUCCACUCCCUCGAGAGGCAGUUAUCUGGCAUCUUCCAUGCAUGGGCGACCACAGAUACACGCAAAGCCAGUCGAAUGCAGUGCUAAACUUGGUACCAGAGAUCGUAAUGAUGAUGACGACGACGAUGAAACAGACAAGGACGUUCUUGCCUUUGCAAGCCCAGAGGUGAUUUCGGUGGUUCUGUUUUUUGCUCUACAGGAUGGAACUGUCUGGCAGCUUACAAGAAUUCCCAGAAGGGGUCACACAGAUCUAUACUUAGUGUCUUCCUCCUGGAAAGCGAUGUCUUUGGACAUCAAAUUGGAGUUUAAUGCAGACUAAAAGCUGGCAACCGCAUAGGGAAUAUAUCUCAAUAAUGCUUCCAAAUAAUUUUAAAAACACACCAGAAUGUCAGAAACUCAUUUUCUAUCUCUGCCCCGCCCCCCAUAUCAUUCCUAUAUCAACAUCAUUUGUGGUUGAAGUAUCUUAAAAUAAAAAGUGAGUAUGUGGCGUAUUGAGAAAUAAUAAAUAAAUAGAUCUCUUAAAAUUAUGCUUUUGGAAUCACAUACGCAUUUGAUGACUAAUCAGCCAUACAUAAUAGGAUCGUAACUGGCAGCUUCUCAGACCUUCCACUUCUACAGAAUAGAAUACUUCCAAGGUUGACAUUUCAGUAAGUAAAAUACAUCUUCAAUGACAGAAAGAAGUUUUGGAGUCAAUUUUUAACUAGGGUUACAAACUUUAUUUUAGAUCUUGCUUUGUAAGAAAGAGAAAGAACAGAAAAAUGACCACAUUUUUGAAGGACUAAAUAUUGAUGCUUUAAUUAUCGAAUUUACAGUCCAGCUCCAGCACCUCAAAUAAGGCACCUGCCGUUGGCCUGGGAAGGGUUUUAUCCCAUAAAGAUGUUGUGUUUCUUGCCUUCAAUGUGUAUUUCGAAUUUAGAAAGAGAUCGGAACAUCAGAGGUAUGAUUUUAAUGGAAGCAUUAUUGUAAGCAGGACCUAUUUUUUUCCUAAAAUAGAUCUGCUUGACCAGACCCUUGUUCCUCCUCCUGUGAACUCUGUGAGCAACAAGCCAAGGAAUUUAAUAACAUGACAAAUAGUGUUCUGGAAGCUAUGUGGAGUAUGUGUUGUUAAAACUGUUAACUUUUAAAUGGCAACUGUCCUUUUUUAUCAUAGUGACAAAGCAAUGACUCUGCGAGUUCCAUGUGGGAACCCUGUAAUUAAUUUUGAAACCGCCCUAGCAAUCUACGGGUAGGCGUAGAGAUCUGACAGCCGGGAGGACAUUUGAUGGCCUCACAGAGGAGGCUUUGAUACCGUGUUUCAUAAUAGAAGCUGGACGCCAAGCUUCAGGCAUUACGUCAGUAACCACGGAACCGCCUGCCGGGAGAGAGCACCCACUUUCACCUGUCCCACUCGAAGCCGCUACCGCGCUGCUCUGCUCUCAAAGGAUGCGACACCCUUGCCUCGUAUUUGCCUUGCAAAGCAGGGACCACAGCAAGUCUAUUCCACCGCAGAACCUCCGGCUUCGGGAUUAGGCCCUUAGGUCUGUGGGACCUUGGCCAGUUUCCACAACCUGAGUCUAAAAUUUUUAUCUAUAAAAUUGAUAAAUGUAAUCUAUAAAAAAUACCCAUCCCAUAACAACAUAAGGCGCCAUAAGGGUCACUGAGAUGGCAGCGUGCCUGGUGGACGGUAAGUGCUCAAUAAUAGGAGGACUUGUGUUACCUGCACACACACACACACAAACAGACACACAGAGUUUGCGCUCCCUGAAGCGAAGGAACAGAGCUGCUCCUGCUUCUUGCCUCACUUGGCUCACAGACGUGGUCACCGCAGCUGAGAGACACAGCUGCUUCUGAUUUCUUCUCAGAGGAAGAAGUUAGAUGUUAGCACCACAAAGCGUGCGAGUCCCUCACUGACGUUGGUGAGACCCAGGAGGAGAGACAGCUUCCCUGAGCGGGCCGGCCGGGGCUGUGUGUACCCACGCGUGUGCAGCAGUGUGUCCCAGCCCCUGUGUAACCAAGAACACCGCUGUGCACGGCGAGACACAGGCGAAGACCACUUUUCUCCUUACAAAUGGGACUGGACUUUCCCCCCACGGUAGUUUCCAACCCGGGUCAUUGCUUAAAUACCGCCUCUCGAUGGGGCCUCCUUGGACCACCACGGCGAGGACAGAGCCACCUCCCCAGGCUGAUGCUCCUUCCUCAGCCUUUCCUUCUUCCCUGACCCCACGCACCUAAAGGAAAAGAUUGUUUCCAUGUUUGUCUUGUCUAUUGCUUAUUGUCCGUCUCUAUCAGCGAGAAUGAAAUCUUUUGGGGACAGGAAUUUUCAUCUGCUUUUUGCCUGGAACACUUGAUAAUUUGCUGAAUGAACAAAUAAAUAAAUAGAUUUAUUCAUAUUUGCUUGUGUAUGCACAGAGAAACCUUGGAAAGCUUCUUGAGAAAACAAUACCUUGUUUCCAGGGCAGAGA